Molecule: ribosomal RNA, 433 nt
Filed under: uncultured bacterium
Lineage: Bacteria
Description: partial 16S ribosomal RNA
Rfam family: Bacterial small subunit ribosomal RNA
Source: RNAcentral
AACGAACGCUGGCGGCAUGCCUAACACAUGCAAGUCGAACGAGACCUUCGGGUCUAGUGGCGCACGGGUGCGUAACGCGUGGGAACCUGCCUUUAGGUUCGGAAUAACUCAGAGAAAUUUGAGCUAAUACCGGAUGAUGUCUUCGGACCAAAGAUUUAUCGCCUUUAGAUGGGCCCGCGUUGGAUUAGCUAGUUGGUGGGGUAAAGGCCUACCAAGGCGACGAUCCAUAGCUGGUCUGAGAGGAUGAUCAGCCACACUGGGACUGAGACACGGCCCAGACUCCUACGGGAGGCAGCAGUGGGGAAUAUUGGACAAUGGGCGAAAGCCUGAUUCAGCAAUGCCGCGUGAGUGAUGAAGGCCUUAGGGUUGUAAAGCUCUUUUACCCGAGAUGAUAAUGACAGUAUCGGGAGAAUAAGCUCCGGCUAACUCCGUG